GCAGCGACGUGUGCGCAGUGUCUGUCUGUGAUUCGGGGGGGAAGCCGCUUGCGUCUUGCAUUCUGGCUGCUCCCAUCACACCGAUCCUGCGGCCGCAGAUAAACCUGAGGUCCAUAGUACUGGUCUAGCGACGUCCCUUGGACAAUCCCAACGCAGGCCGGCCUCCGACCCCUCUGACACUC
This 182-nucleotide small nucleolar RNA is filed under the name Leptobrachium leishanense (Leishan spiny toad). Its description in RNAcentral is "Small nucleolar RNA SNORA23 (ENSLLEG00000010298.1)". It matches the Rfam family "Small nucleolar RNA SNORA23". From Rfam's summary of the family: The members of this family belong to the H/ACA class of snoRNAs which are thought to guide the sites of modification of uridines to pseudouridines. This family includes human snoRNA ACA23 (SNORA23) and mouse snoMBI-1. The record is from Rfam by way of RNAcentral. Lineage: Eukaryota; Metazoa; Chordata; Amphibia; Anura; Megophryidae.